Molecule: ribosomal RNA, 393 nt
Filed under: uncultured bacterium
Lineage: Bacteria
Description: partial 16S ribosomal RNA
Rfam family: Bacterial small subunit ribosomal RNA
Source: RNAcentral
AUACGGAAGGUCCGGGCGUUUUCCGGAUUUAUUGGGUUUAAAGGGAGCGCAGGCGGAGAUGCAAGCGUGACGUCAAAUUUCGGGGCUCAACCCCGUCUCGCGUCGCGAACUGCGUCCCUUGGUUGCGGGAAGGGGAGGCGGAACUCGUGGUGUAGCGGUGAAAUGCAUAGAUAUCACGAAGAACUCCGAUCGCGAAGGCAGCCUUCCGGCCCGUCAACGACGCUCAUGCUCGAAGGUGCGGGUAUCAAACAGGAUUAGAUACCCUGGUAGUCCGCACAGUAAACGAUGGACACCCGCGGUUUGGCCUGUAUGGCUGAGCCGCCAAGCGAAAGCGUUAAGUGUCCCACCUGGGGAGUACGCCGGCAACGGUGAAACUCAAAGGAAUUGACGGGG